This 72-nucleotide transfer RNA is filed under the name Fidelibacterota bacterium. Its description in RNAcentral is "tRNA-Thr". It matches the Rfam family "tRNA". Rfam says of the family: Transfer RNA (tRNA) molecules are approximately 80 nucleotides in length. Lineage: Bacteria; Pseudomonadati; Fidelibacterota. The record is from RNAcentral.
GCCAGUGUAGCUCAGGGGUAGAGCACCUCUCUCGUAAAGAGGAAGUCGUUGGUUCAAAUCCAAUCACUGGCU